AUUGAACGCUGGCGGCAUACUUUACACAUGCAAGUCGAACGGCAGCGCGGGCUUCGGCCUGGCGGCGAGUGGCGAACGGGUGAGUAAUAUAUCGGAACGUACCCAAGAGUGGGGGAUAACGUAGCGAAAGUUACGCUAAUACCGCAUACGAUCUAAGGAUGAAAGCAGGGGAUCGCAAGACCUUGUGCUCCUGGAGCGGCCGAUAUCUGAUUAGCUAGUUGGUGAGGUAAAGGCUCACCAAGGCAACGAUCAGUAGCUGGUCUGAGAGGACGACCAGCCACACUGGAACUGAGACACGGUCCAGACUCCUACGGGAGGCAGCAGUGGGGAAUUUUGGACAAUGGGGGCAACCCUGAUCCAGCAAUGCCGCGUGAGUGAAGAAGGCC
RNAcentral lists this ribosomal RNA (386 nucleotides) under uncultured bacterium. RNAcentral describes it as "bacterial SSU rRNA". It matches the Rfam family "Bacterial small subunit ribosomal RNA", at positions 30 to 416 of the family's 1533-position model. The record is from RNAcentral.